Molecule: long non-coding RNA, 297 nt
Filed under: Homo sapiens (human)
Lineage: Eukaryota; Metazoa; Chordata; Mammalia; Primates; Hominidae
Description: non-protein coding lnc-STARD10-1:7
Source: RNAcentral
AGAGCCGCUGGUGCUUCCCAGGCCGUCGCGCUCCUGGCCGCGCACCCAGCCAGGGACCCAGAGGCCCUCAGCCCCGGGCUCUGCGCGUACACUGAGGGCGCGGCGCAGCAGGACAGCAAGAUAAGGAAGCAGAGACUGAAGGGAGGAAUCCCCGCUUUCCGGGGAUGAUGGCGUUCGAGUUGGGUCUGUGAGGGAUGAAAUAGGAGUUGGCCAGAGGGAGAGAGGGACUCUAGGCCUCGAGAAGAGCACGUGCAGAGGUUCCGUGACACGAAAACGCCAGCCCCAAACCAGGCCUGA